AACGAACGCUGGCGGCAGGCUUAACACAUGCAAGUCGAGCGCCCCGCAAGGGGAGCGGCAGACGGGUGAGUAACGCGUGGGAACGUACCUUUUGGUUCGGAACAACUCCGGGAAACUGGAGCUAAUACCGGAUAAGCCCUAACGGGGAAAGAUUUAUCGCCGAGAGAUCGGCCCGCGUCUGAUUAGCUAGUUGGUGAGGUAACGGCUCACCAAGGCGACGAUCAGUAGCUGGUCUGAGAGGAUGAUCAGCCACACUGGGACUGAGACACGGCCCAGACUCCUACGGGAGGCAGCAGUGGGGAAUAUUGGACAAUGGGCGCAAGCCUGAUCCAGCCAUGCCGCGUGAGUGAUGAAGGCCUUAGGGUUGUAAAGCUCUUUUGUCCGGGAAGAUAAUGACUGUACCGGAAGAAUAAGCCCCGGCUAACUUCGUG
RNAcentral lists this ribosomal RNA (431 nucleotides) under uncultured bacterium. RNAcentral describes it as "partial 16S ribosomal RNA". It matches the Rfam family "Bacterial small subunit ribosomal RNA", at positions 29 to 507 of the family's 1533-position model. The record is from RNAcentral.